RNAcentral lists this transfer RNA (75 nucleotides) under Albula glossodonta (roundjaw bonefish). RNAcentral describes it as "tRNA-OTHER". The record is from RNAcentral. Lineage: Eukaryota; Metazoa; Chordata; Actinopteri; Albuliformes; Albulidae.
CUGCCUGUAGUCGAGUGGCUAAGGUACAUGACUGGGACCCAUGAGGUUGGUGGUUCAAGUCCCAGUCCAGCCACA